UACGGGGGGAGCAAGCGUUGUUCGGAUUUACUGGGCGUAAAGGGCGCGUAGGCGGCCUGUUAAGUCGAACGUGAAAUCCCCGGGCUCAACCCGGGAACUGCGUCCGAUACUGGAAGGCUUGAAUCCGGGAGAGGGAUGCGGAAUUCCAGGUGUAGCGGUGAAAUGCGUAGAUAUCUGGAGGAACACCGGUGGCGAAGGCGGCAUCCUGGACCGGUAUUGACGCUGAGGCGUGAAAGCCAGGGGAGCAAACGGG
RNAcentral lists this ribosomal RNA (253 nucleotides) under uncultured bacterium. Its description in RNAcentral is "partial 16S ribosomal RNA". It matches the Rfam family "Bacterial small subunit ribosomal RNA", at positions 524 to 776 of the family's 1533-position model. The record is from RNAcentral.